CGGUCGAGCGAGUCUCAGUCGGCCGUGGCGGUGCGUUGAUGCCUGCUUGUGUGGCCGAAAGAGACUCAUUGGGCCUGC
MicroRNA precursor from Caenorhabditis elegans, 78 nucleotides. The record is from Ensembl. Lineage: Eukaryota; Metazoa; Nematoda; Chromadorea; Rhabditida; Rhabditidae.